CUAUAUAGUACAAAGUCAAUCACCUAAGCUCACGGAAACAAGCGGCAAGUAGGCGGUAGGUAGGCACGUAGGUAGCAUGACUAAACGCACGCGCGCACGCAUGUAGGCAAAAUAAACGCGGCUGCUUAGGGUUUACUCAAUUUUCUAAA
Molecule: non-coding RNA, 149 nt
Organism: Caenorhabditis elegans
Lineage: Eukaryota; Metazoa; Nematoda; Chromadorea; Rhabditida; Rhabditidae
Source: Ensembl